CCUACGGGAGGCAGCAGUGGGGGAUAUUGCACAAUGGGGGAAACCCUGAUGCAGCGACGCCGCGUGUGGGAAGACGGUCCUCUGGAUUGUAAACCACUGUCCCCAGGGACGAAAAUGCCGUUACCUGGGGAGGAAGCUCCGGCAAACUACGUGCCAGCAGCCGCGGUAUUCCGUAGGGAGCGAGCGUUGUCCGGAAUUCCUGGGGGAAAAGGGAGCGUAGGCGGGGAUGCAAGUUGGGUGUCAAAACUACCGGCUAAACUGGUAGUCGCACUCAAAACUGCAGCGCUUGAGUGAAGUAGAGGCAGGCGGAAUUCCUAGUGUAGCGGUGAAAUGCGUAGAUAUUAGGAGGAACACCAGUGGCGAAGGCGGCCUGCUGGGCUUUGACUGACGCUGAGGCUCGAAAGUGUGGGGAGCAAACAGGAUUAGAUACCCGGGUAGUC
RNAcentral lists this ribosomal RNA (440 nucleotides) under uncultured bacterium. Its description in RNAcentral is "partial 16S ribosomal RNA". It matches the Rfam family "Bacterial small subunit ribosomal RNA", at positions 338 to 795 of the family's 1533-position model. The record is from RNAcentral.